AUGGUCCUGGAGAUUGCCCAGAAGCAGAGCAUGAACGAGUCAGCCCACCUGGGCUGGGAGCUGGAGCAGCUGUCUAAGAACGCGGAGUUGUCAGACGCCUCCAGGAAGUCGUUUGUGUUUGAGCUGAACGAAUGUGCAUCUAGCCGCAUCCUAAAGCUGGAGAAGGAGAACCAGAGCCUCCAGAGCACCAUCCAGGGGCUGCGGGAUGCAUCCCUGGCACUGGAAGAGAGCAACCUCAAGUGCGGAGAGCUGGAGAAGGAGAACCACCAGCUCAGCAAGAAGAUUGAAAAGUUACAGACCCAGCUGGAGAGAGAGAAACAGAGCAACCAGGACCUGGAGACCCUCAGUGAGGAGCUGAUCCGGGAGAAGGAACAGCUGCAGAGUGACAUGGAGGCCCUGAAGGCCGACAAGGCCAGGCAGAUCAAGGAUCUGGAGCAGGAGAAGGAACACCUUCACCGAACCGUGUGGUCGCUACGGGAGAAGUCGCAGGCCAGCAGUGAGGCCCGUGGGAAGGACGUCGAGAAGGAGAACAGGGCCCUCCACCAGGCAGUGACAGAGGCUGGCAGCAAACUGAGCCAGCUUGAGUUGGACAAGAAGCAGCUGCACAGGGACCUGGAGCAGGCCAAGGAGAAGGGGGAGCGGGUGGAGGUGCUGGAGAAGGAGCUGCACCGUCUGGAGAAGGAGAACGAGCAGCUGGCCAAAAAGGUGACCUCCCUGAAGACGGUCACCGAGAAGGUCGAGGCCCUGGAGCAUGAAAGCCGGGGCCUGGAGCUGGAGAACCGGACGCUGAGGAAGUCACUGGACACUCUGCAGAACGUGUCAGUGCAGCUCGAGGGCCUGGAGCGUGACAACAAACAGCUGGAUGAGGAGAACCUGGAGCUUCGGAAGAUGGUGGAGACCAUGCGCUUCACCAGUGCCAAGAUGGCGCAGAUCGAGAGGGAGAACCAGCAGCUGGAGCGCGAGAAGGAGGAGCUGCGGAAGAGCGUGGACCUGCUGAAGGCGCUGAGCAAGAAGUCGGAGCGCCUGGAGCUCAGCUACCAGAGUGUAAGUGCCGAGAACCUCCGGCUGCAGCAGAGUUUAGAGAGCAGCGGCCACAAGUCACAGGCCCUCGAGCGGGAGCUGAGCGAGCUGGAGGCUGAGCACCAGGCGCUGCGGCGAGACCUGGAGGCCCUUCGGCUCACCAACAAGCAGCUGGAGAGGGCCGAGAAGGACAAAAAGGCCCUGGAGCAGGAGGUGGCCCAACUGGAGAAGGACAAGAAGCUGCUGGAGAAGGAGGCCAAGCGGCUGUGGCAGCAGGUGGAGCUGAAGGACGCCGUCUUGGACGAAAGCGCCGCCAAGCUGUCGGCAGCCGAGAAGGAGAGCCGUGCGCUGGACAAGGAGCUGGCCCGCUGCCGGGACGCGGCCAGCAAGCUGAAGGAGCUGGAGAAGGACAACAGGGACCUCACCAAGCAGGUCACCAUGCACACGAGGACGCUGACCACCCUGAGAGAGGUGAGCCGCAUGCUGGAGGGGUGGCGGGAGGGCCUGUUUCUGGGGUGUGUGGUUCUAGAAUAGAAGGGGGACUUUGCAUGUCCUCCAUAAGUGUAUCCCUUGUUCUAAUAUUCCAAAAUCCAAAGAACCAGUGGAAAUCAUAUGUUAUGAUCUUACUAUCCAGAGGUAGUUAUGCGUAACAUUUGGUUCGUUGUGUCAUUUCCCCUGUGCACGUGCAUACAGAUGCUCCUUGACUUACGAUGGGCUAUGUCUUCAUGAACCCACCGUGGGGUGAAAACGCUGUAAGUGGAAAAUGCAUUUAAUAUACCUGCUGCGCACCCUUGCAUAGCAACACAGCACACUGCGGAGUCGGUGGUUUCCCCUCCUGAUCAGGUGGCUGGCUGGGAGCAAUGGCUCAGUGUCCCACACAACGUCAGGAGAGAUCCGACGGCACUUUGCUAGCCUGGGGAAAGACCAAAAUUGAAAAUUUGAUUGUGAAGUCAAAAAAUUGUCAGUCAAGUCACCCUAAAUCAGGAUCAGCUGUUACAUGCUCUGCGUUAGACUAUACAGUGGGGCUGUUCUAAUUUUUUUAUCAUGUUAUGUCAUUUCUCAAAAGCUUCAAUUUUCAGUGGCUGUACAACUCUAUAGAUAUAAUUCUAUAGAGUUACAUUAUUUUGGAGGUGCUUAGGUUAUUCCCAGUACUUUGCACUGUUUCUUGUUUUGUUUGUUUUUGGUGCUAGGGAUUGAACCUAGGGCCUUGUGCAUGCUUGCUGAGCUCUGCCCCCAGCCCCCACUUUUUUGUUGUGGUUUUUUUUUUCUUUUUUUUUUUGGUACCAGCAAUUAAACUCACAACAUCAG
Chinchilla lanigera (long-tailed chinchilla) is the source of this 2328-nucleotide long non-coding RNA. Lineage: Eukaryota; Metazoa; Chordata; Mammalia; Rodentia; Chinchillidae. The record is from Ensembl.